Dermochelys coriacea (leatherback sea turtle) is the source of this 557-nucleotide long non-coding RNA. RefSeq lists it as uncharacterized. NCBI's taxonomy places the organism in Eukaryota, Metazoa, Chordata, Testudines, Dermochelyidae. The transcript is spliced from 2 exons. The record is from RefSeq and is a predicted model, not a curated record.
GAAACAAAUUACCAGGAAGAAAGGAAGGGAUUUAUUUGUAUUCCUGUGGUGGAGUUCAUGACAACCAAUAUGACAUCCAAUAUGACAGAGCGGUUUCUCUACCUCCAUCAGCCCCAUGAGGACUUCACAAUGACAGUGACUCCAGGGCAGCCACAGAUUUCUGACUAACCAUGAACACAUGCAGAGUGGGAGGAGAAUCUUCCUUAUCUCAGUAGCCUGGACUCCAGCAGGCUGUCUGGGGAUUCAGUCUUUUCCUUUCUGAAAGAAGGCCAUGCUAUUUAAUACUCUAUGUGCAGCAUGGGCUAGACUCUGGUCUUUGAGACCUUGGUGUAAAUUCAGCAUUUCCUCACUGAAGUAACAGGAGUUUCUCCAGAACUGCACUGUUGUAACCUAGAUCAAAGGCUGUGUAACAUGUAUUCAACAGAGACCACACUCCGCUCUCAGUUGCGCCAGUAUAAUGACUUCAGCAGAGUAACUCGGCAUUUCCAGUGGUGUAUAUAUGUGGGUAUAUAAGGAUGUGUGUGUGUUUUUUGUGAUAAAGUAUUUGAACAAGUUAA